Molecule: long non-coding RNA, 537 nt
Organism: Biomphalaria glabrata
Lineage: Eukaryota; Metazoa; Mollusca; Gastropoda; Planorbidae
Exons: 2
Source: RefSeq, a predicted model, not a curated record
GUAUUCUACUCUAUUUACUUGUCCUGUAUUCUACUUUAUUUACUUGUCCUGUAUUCUACUUUAUUUACUUGUCCUGUAUUCUACUUUAUUUACUUGUCCUAUAUUCUACUUUAUUUACUUGUACUGUAUUCAGUAAUUUAUUUAAUUACGUUUCUUUUAAUACGCUUUUUAAAUUGGCCUUGUAUUAUUCAGUAUCGUCUGUCCUAAUGUCUGUUCAGGUCAACGGCUCAAGAUGAAUGACGAGGAUUACGCUGUAUCCCAGAUGGAACUGCAUCCCUUGUUGGUCACCAUUUUUUUCCUUCGACCUUCCGGCAGCUUCAGAUGUGUCUAGAUUGAGCUAGAGGCCUCCUUCCAACAUUUUGUCAGGGCGUCGCGCACCUUCUAAAGAAGACCUCUUGCCUCUAUCCCUCUAGGUAAGCGCGCCCUACAGUUUGAGAAACGUUGCUCUAUUGAUUUAUUCGAGUUCUGUUGUAGGUGAGAAACUCUCCUGACAUGAAACAACGAUUGUAUUGAUAUAAUAAAUGACUGAAAUAUGAA